CUACUGCUCCCUCCGUCCGGAAAUACCUGUCAUUGAAAUGGAUGUAUCUAGAUGUAUUUUAGUUAUACAUACAUCCAUUUUCAAUUCAUUUUGAUGACAAGUAAUUCCGGAUGGAGGGAGUACUAC
Molecule: non-coding RNA, 126 nt
Organism: Triticum aestivum (bread wheat)
Lineage: Eukaryota; Viridiplantae; Streptophyta; Magnoliopsida; Poales; Poaceae
Source: Rfam